This is a long non-coding RNA of Diabrotica virgifera virgifera (western corn rootworm), 851 nucleotides long. RefSeq lists it as uncharacterized. The record is from RefSeq and is a predicted model, not a curated record. The transcript has 3 exons. Lineage: Eukaryota; Metazoa; Arthropoda; Insecta; Coleoptera; Chrysomelidae.
GAGUUUCCCAAGAUUAUAAACAUACAAAUGUAAUAAAAAUUAUUGUUCGCGAAUAUUCAAUUUGGAAUGCGAUUUUGUUAAUAAAAAAAAAUACUUAUAACUUAUGCAAAACCCAAGAGAGGCAUUUAUAUUUAUUUCUUUUGCGUUCAUUUUCAAAUUCGCCGUGCAUAUAUUUUUGUGCAUGGCGCUUGAGAGGGCAUCACGUGACUAAAAACGACCAACCAACGACCUCGCUUCGGCCAUCUUGGCAUCUUCAUCUUGGCGACCUUGCCUUGCCGUGGAUUGUUUUUAGUUGUUUGUAUUAUUUGUGCUUUUUAAGAAUAUUUUUUUAAUUCGGAUACUUUUAUAAUAGCUUUAAUAGUAUUAUUAACAUAGUGCAUAAAAUGGUGUCCUGUUUUUAACGCAGUUGGAGUAGCAGAAACAAAUGUAGAUAAAAAAAUCUGCAGGAAUAACGUUUCAAUUAUGACAGAAGCUCAAAACAAAUGACUGUGAAUGAAAAGCCCUAUUAAAAGCUUUCCAGAAGAUCCUGCGAAGAAGACAUGAAGUAUAGAUCAGAUUUGUUAAUAGAGGAGUAUGUUCAAAACACUUUUUAGAAAAAGAUAUUGACAGAACUUCACUUUCAUCUGUUCGUUUGAGAGACUGUGCUGUUCCAAUAGCUUAUGUCACACAGAAUCAGCUGAGAGAAGCGGUCUACAAAAAACCAGAAAGGAAACGGAAUAUGUGGCUACGAAAAGCAAAAGAAAGGUUUACAAAGCAAAUGUGACACAUUUUUUUAUAAUAUUUAGGAAUGUCAGCAAAUUACAUUAAAAAAUGUAUGUAAAGAUUUUUUGCAAUAAAAAUGUUUAUAUUUA